UUCGAGUGGCGGACGGGUGAGUAACGCGUGGGUAACCUGCCUUACACAGGGGGAUAACACCUGGAAACAGGUGCUAAUACCGCAUAAGCGCACAGGGCCGCAUGGCCCGGUGUGAAAAACUCCGGUGGUGUAAGAUGGACCCGCGUCUGAUUAGCUUGUUGGCGGGGUAGGGGCCCACCAAGGCGACGAUCAGUAGCCGGCCUGAGAGGGUGGACGGCCGCAUUGGGACUGAGACACGGCCCAAACUCCUACGGGAGGCAGCAG
Molecule: ribosomal RNA, 264 nt
Filed under: uncultured bacterium
Lineage: Bacteria
Description: partial 16S ribosomal RNA
Rfam family: Bacterial small subunit ribosomal RNA
Source: RNAcentral